GAUGAACGCUGGCGGCGUGCCUAAUACAUGCAAGUCGAGCGAACAGACGAGGAGCUUGCUCCUCUGACGUUAGCGGCGGACGGGUGAGUAACACGUGGAUAACCUACCUAUAAGACUGGGAUAACUUCGGGAAACCGGAGCUAAUACCGGAUAAUAUAUUGAACCGCAUGGUUCAAUAGUGAAAGACGGUUUUGCUGUCACUUAUAGCUGGAUCCGCGCCGCAUUAGCUAGUUGGUAAGGUAACGGCUUACCAAGGCAACGAUGCGUAGCCGACCUGAGAGGGUGAUCGGCCACACUGGAACUGAGACACGGUCCAGACUCCUACGGGAGGCAGCAGUAGGGAAUCUUCCGCAAUGGGCGAAAGCUUGACGGAGCAACGCCGCGUGAGUGAUGAAGGUCUUCGGAUCGUAAAACUCUGUUAUUAGGGAAGAACAAAUGUGUAAGUAAAUAUGCACGUCUUGACGGUACCUAAUCAGAAAGCCACGGCUAACUACGUG
RNAcentral lists this ribosomal RNA (497 nucleotides) under uncultured bacterium. Its description in RNAcentral is "partial 16S ribosomal RNA". It matches the Rfam family "Bacterial small subunit ribosomal RNA", at positions 28 to 507 of the family's 1533-position model. The record is from RNAcentral.